Molecule: non-coding RNA, 101 nt
Filed under: Rhodococcus jostii RHA1
Lineage: Bacteria; Bacillati; Actinomycetota; Actinomycetes; Mycobacteriales; Nocardiaceae
Also listed under: 1 other name
Description: Glycine riboswitch aptamer
Rfam family: Glycine riboswitch aptamer
About the family: This family represents the bacterial glycine riboswitch. Glycine riboswitches usually consist of two metabolite-binding aptamers domains with similar structures in tandem.
Source: Rfam by way of RNAcentral
CUCUGGAGAGCAGCGUGUCGGCUGUAACGGCACGUUCACCGACGGGGCACGAUGACCACUCCCACGAGUGUGUCUCCAAACUCUCAGGUUACGGAACAGAG